Molecule: long non-coding RNA, 304 nt
Filed under: Sus scrofa (pig)
Lineage: Eukaryota; Metazoa; Chordata; Mammalia; Artiodactyla; Suidae
Description: lncRNA (ENSSSCG00070005998.1)
Source: RNAcentral
UGAAUAGUCAACUGCUCCCUGUUUAGUCCUGUAAGAAGGGAAACAGUGUUAUCUGAGUGGAGCCUCUUCUUUAUCUAACUGUGAUGUGGAUGGGAAGUGGAUAAGGAAGAGGGGUGAGGAGGAAGCACGCUGCUAGGUGUCUCUAGUUGGCCAAGAACAACAGAGUUGCAGGUGACAAGCAAUCCCAGCUACCCCCUCUGUUAGAAUGUCGUUAGGCCUUCCUGUUUCUUCACUUCCAUAGCAGUUUCCAGCAUGCCUCAGACCUUGGUGUUUUGGGGACACCGUGUCUUGGCCUGCCCUUUCA